GCCUCACUCUCUGUAGCCGCCCCAUCGCUGGAAUAUUGGACCAUCAGAUCCAACUGGAGCUGGGGUCGAAAACCAUUUGUCGCAGAUCCACCAUGCUUGGGUGCGAAAGCAAGAGAUCACAUGCUUGGUUUGAGAAUUUCUGUUGGAGGCCAUAUUCUAGCCCAACGAAGGCCCCUUUCAUCCUUUGUUUUGCUCAUUGGAGAAAAGGCAUGAUGAUUCUAUGUGGAUUAUGGCAUCGAAUACCAUCACAAUUAAGAAAAAAUAUCUCAAUCUCCUCACAAAGGAGCUAUUGGUUGAGUUGCACAGUCCAGAGUGCAAGUGUCUUUAUGAAGCUGGAUUUAAGAUCUAAGUAUCGCCAAAUUGAGUAGUAUUCAGGGAUGUGGACAAGAUGACUCUUGGGAGACAUGAGAGGCACUGUCAAUUCAAAGUCAUGCCCUUUAGGCUAAUUAACACCCUUGCAACAUUCCAAAACUGGAAGAAUGAGGUGUUCAGACAUUCUUUGAGAAUAUAUAUAUAUAUAUAUAUAUAUAUAUAUAAUCACAUCCUUAUUCAUAAUCAAAAUUGAGAUGACGAUGUCCAAAAUGCAAAAUUAGCCUUGGAGGUUCUCCAAGCAUCAACUAUUCUCCAGGAAUGCAUUUGGCAUAAACAUGGCUAGGAAUGGACAAACACACACACACACACACACAAAAAAAAAGGAUUUAGGUGGUUGUGGUGUUCAUUGGCUUGGUUAUACAAUUUGUGCACAUGCUGAGGGCAUUUCUUAGGAUUUUCAAGUCCUACCACCAUUUUAUCCAGCGUUACAACCUCAUGGUUGUAUCUCUCACGUGUGUUCUUAAGAAGGAGGGUUUCCAUUAGGCAGAAAAAGCUUAGCAAGCUUUUGAGGAAUUGAAGAAACAUAUUUAUCUCAUUGCUAGUCAUGACCUUGCCCAAGUACAGCAACCCGGUUACAGUGGAGAAGGAUGACUCGGUUGUACGAUUCAAAGGGAUAUGCUGACAAGGAGGUCACCCCAUAGCCUAUUUAGUAGGGCAAUGGAUGGACGUUUCGUGCAACUGGCAUUCCAUCUUUGAGGAAGCUCAUCAUGAUAGUACUGGUGAGUCAAAAAUGAUUUUACAAUUUGCUAGGGAGGCUGUUUACUCCCAUCACCACCCUGUGUUACCUCUCAAGUCAACAAGUAUCUACACCAGGCCAGCAGAAAACCAUUAACAAGCUACGUGGAUUUGAUUUUAGGGUGAAGUAUUGGAAGGGGCUUGCAGUGGUGCAACAGAUGAGUUGUCGCAGAAAGAGGAUGUCUGAAGCUGGUGUGUUAUGUUGUCAGCUACUUCCUGUCGUUUGUGGGAACAAGUUAGGAAGGAGCACCAAGAAAAUUUGAAGGUUCAGAAGCUUGUUCAAAAGUGUGAGAAAACCUGAAUGCCUGUUUCUAGGUAGUGCAUGACCAACCUCUGUUCUAUGGCCAGCAGGUGUGCUUGCUAAAAUGGACUCCUGAUUGAUACUCAUAUCUUAGACUAUUUUACUCCAGACUUUAAAUAGGACAUCAAGGAGCUGAGUGCACCUAACUUAAGGUGAAACCAAUUUCUAUUGGCUGCGAAUUCUGUAAAUUAUUCAAGUGUGUGGGUAGGUGUAUGCAAUGCCUGAAAGUAUGGGAGGGUUGAAAGUAUUUAGAUAUGUAUAGCCCCUUUUGGUGCCAGAAGAAAUGGAUUUCAUUGACGGCCUUCCAAAAGCUCAAGCCAAGUCUUUGAUUCUUGUGGUGGUCAAUAGGCUGUCCAAAUACGUUAUUUCAUUACUUUGUCACCCCUUGCCACAUGUUGUGUGGCAAACACAUUCCAUGAGCACGUGGGCAAGUUUCAUAGGAUGCCACAUUCUAUUCUAGGCAAUCCGACAUGGUUUUCCUCAGCAUUUUGGAAUGAUUAUUUCACUUUUCCAGGUACCCUAUGCCAUAUGUGGUCAGCUUAACAUCAGCAAAUGGAUAGCCAGAUGCACGGAAUCCUACUCGUCUGUGUUGUUUAACUAAGUAAACAACCUCGUAAUUGAAAUUUUUCCUGUCAUGGGCAGAUUUUUCCUGUAAUACUGCAUACCAGUCAGCCAUUGGAAUGUCGCCCUAUGAGGCAGUCUUUAGCUGUAUCCUCCACCCCAAUUACAAUGUUGUGAUGGAGGUUGGAUCUUUGUGGUUGUCUCUGUUGCACUUUUGCAUUGUACAGAUGAAGUGCUUAGGAUUCUGGAGAAGAAUAUUUAUGCAGCUCAGAGUGAAGCAGGAGGAUGAUAAGAAUUGGAAAGAAUGGGAUUUUGAGUUGUGACUGACACUGCAUCAAUUAGUUCAUCAACAUCCCAAUCUGAAUAAAUCUUCUUCCUGCUAUUCUGGCUCUUCUGAAGUGGUGGCAAAGGAUUGAAGACCUGCUUAUCAUCUGCCACUUACCUGAGAACUGAGAAGUGAGAACAGCAAUAUGCGUCCAGUGUUGCUCGUGUUAUGGUUGAAACCUAUCCUAUCGAGGAACAAGAACCUUGGCUACUUUGUAUGCUGGAACAGAGUAGGGUAACAAAACAGCAGUGCUUAGUGCCAGGGAUGUUUAUUGAAUGGAAACCGUGGAGCCCAGGGAAGCACAUGGGAAGUAGCCAAUCCUCCAGCAAUUUCCGUGCUUCUCACCUUUGAGGACGAGCUGUCGUUUAAGAGGAGGGAGUAUGUCAGUCAUAGGUGUCUACGAAGCAAAGAGAUUAAAAUGAAUUCAAAGCUGGAAUAUUUGAGAAGCUUGUAAAAGUUGUAGAAGGAUACUCAAACUAAGUGCAACACUAAAUGUAUUAACUAUGUAUCUGAGUUGUCUGCUGUUUUUGAAAUGAGAGAAUUUCCGAGAUGGAAUUAGGUUUGCUACAAUCUUGCUUGCCAUCGGAGAAGGUGAUGCAGGUGGGUGCUGUAGUGCCUUGCCCUCAUGGAUGUGAUUGGUACGUCUCAUCUGCCUCCUGACAUUUAUUCAGAUGUAAUCUUCGGAUGGGCAAUAACGGAUACGAGAUUAGGUCAAAUUUGGUGCCCACCAGUCAAUGUUAACUCGCUGUAAUGUUCAUCCACCGGAGUAGAGCUGCUGCUUCUUGAUAGUGGUUCUUAUGUCUUGAAGCAGGCAUUUGCACGCUAUCUGUCGUUGGAUAUUGUAAAUGUUUGGGUUUUUUGUUGGCACGUUACGAGAAUCAAGUGGUUAUUUAAUUGGCAAGAUAUGAAUUUCUAUUACCACA
Nymphaea colorata (pocket water lily) is the source of this 3217-nucleotide long non-coding RNA. RefSeq lists it as uncharacterized. The record is from RefSeq and is a predicted model, not a curated record. NCBI's taxonomy places the organism in Eukaryota, Viridiplantae, Streptophyta, Magnoliopsida, Nymphaeales, Nymphaeaceae. The transcript has 2 exons.